This 456-nucleotide unclassified non-coding RNA is filed under the name uncultured Bordetella sp. RNAcentral's name for it is "partial 16S-23S ribosomal RNA intergenic spacer". It matches the Rfam family "Bacterial small subunit ribosomal RNA", at positions 340 to 794 of the family's 1533-position model. The record is from RNAcentral. Lineage: Bacteria; Pseudomonadati; Pseudomonadota; Betaproteobacteria; Burkholderiales; Alcaligenaceae.
UACGGGGGGCAGCAGUGGGGAAUUUUGGACAAUGGAAACCCUGAUCCAGCCAUCCCGCGUGUGCGAUGAAGGCCCUCGGGUUGUAAAGCACUUUUGGCAGGAAAGAAACAGCGCAGGAUAUUACCCGUGCAACUGACGUACCUGCAGAAUAAGCACCGGCUAACUACGUGCCAGCAGCCGCCGUGUACGUAGGGUGCAAGCGUUAAUCGGAAUUACUGGGCGUAAAGCGUGCGCAGGCGGUUCCGGAAAGAAAGAUGUGAAAUCCCAGAGCUUAACUUUGGAACUGCAUUUUUAACUACCGAGCUAGAGUGUGUCAGGGAGGUGGAAUUCCCCGCGUGUAGCAGUGAAAUGCGUAGAUAUGCGGAGGAACACCGAUGGCGAAGGCAGCCUCCUGGGACAACACUGACGCUCAUGCACGAAAGCGUGGGGAGCAAACAGGAUUAGAUACCGCGUAGU